RNAcentral lists this long non-coding RNA (358 nucleotides) under Marmota monax (woodchuck). The record is from RNAcentral. Lineage: Eukaryota; Metazoa; Chordata; Mammalia; Rodentia; Sciuridae.
CUGUUUUCUCUCUUUUUACCUAGGAUGUGAACGAUAUAAUGGCUGCAGUUGGAGCACCCAUUUUGUGACUGGAAGGACAAAAGCUGCACAUUAAAAAUAGGACAAGAAGCCACCAUAAAGAAACUGGGUCCUUGACAACCUCCUCAAGUAGCUAACCAGCUCCAAAUUACCUACCUGGGCUCUAUGUUUUAUCAGAAGGUAUUAGAUUAACCACUCUAGUUGAGAUAAAGUUGUAACUGAAACAGUCUUAGAACCCAAGUUAGGCCUGCACCAUGAUAGAACGGUGGCUAAUGGAUGGUCAAAGUAACAAGAAAAGGUGGCAGAAGGAAAAUAAUACCUCAAGGCAUUUCUAUGUUAA